GCCGCCGUAGUAUAGCCCGGUCAAGUAUGCGGGCCUUUCGAGCCCGUGACCCGGGUUCAAAUCCCGGCGGCGGCA
This is a transfer RNA of 75 nucleotides. It matches the Rfam family "tRNA". Rfam says of the family: Transfer RNA (tRNA) molecules are approximately 80 nucleotides in length. Their secondary structure includes four short double-helical elements and three loops (D, anti-codon, and T loops). The record is from Rfam.